Molecule: ribosomal RNA, 721 nt
Filed under: Kluyveromyces marxianus
Lineage: Eukaryota; Fungi; Ascomycota; Saccharomycetes; Saccharomycetales; Saccharomycetaceae
Description: LSU rRNA
Rfam family: Eukaryotic large subunit ribosomal RNA (bases 105-721)
Source: RNAcentral
CCAAUUCGUGGUAAGCUUGGGUCAAAGAGACUCAUAGGUGUUAUAAAGACUCGCUGGUGUUUGUCUCCUUGAGGCAUACGGCUUUAACCAAAACUCUCAAAGUUUGACCUCAAAUCAGGUAGGAGUACCCGCUGAACUUAAGCAUAUCAAUAAGCGGAGGAAAAGAAACCAACCGGGAUUGCCUUAGUAACGGCGAGUGAAGCGGCAAAAGCUCAAAUUUGAAAUCUGGCGUCUUCGACGUCCGAGUUGUAAUUUGAAGAAGGCGACUUUGUAGCUGGUCCUUGUCUAUGUUCCUUGGAACAGGACGUCAUAGAGGGUGAGAAUCCCGUGUGGCGAGGAUCCCAGUUAUUUGUAAAGUGCUUUCGACGAGUCGAGUUGUUUGGGAAUGCAGCUCUAAGUGGGUGGUAAAUUCCAUCUAAAGCUAAAUAUUGGCGAGAGACCGAUAGCGAACAAGUACAGUGAUGGAAAGAUGAAAAGAACUUUGAAAAGAGAGUGAAAAAGUACGUGAAAUUGUUGAAAGGGAAGGGCAUUUGAUCAGACAUGGCGUUUGCUUCGGCUUUCGCUGGGCCAGCAUCAGUUUUAGCGGUUGGAUAAAUCCUCGGGAAUGUGGCUCUGCUUCGGUAGAGUGUUAUAGCCCGUGGGAAUACAGCCAGCUGGGACUGAGGAUUGCGACUUUUGUCAAGGAUGCUGGCGUAAUGGUUAAAUGCCGCCCGUCUUGAAA